UGGCUAUUAUAAAUAUUGUUGGUAUGACUAUGAGUGAACAAAAAUGGCUCUUUUCUGUUUUCAUUUCGGUGGUGGCUAUCCUGUUUUUUGUUCAUUUGUUCAUUCGAUCAUUUGUUUGUUUUAUAAACUUGACACAAGCUAGAGUCAUCUGGGAAGAGGAACCUCAAUUGAGAAACUGCCUCCAACAGUUUAGCCUGUGGGGUAAGCUUCUGGACUAGUGAUUGAUAGGGAAGGGCCCAGAAACAGUGGGUGUUGCUAUCUCUGGGGUCCUGGGUGAUAUAAGAAAGCAGGCCGUUUGAGCCGUGAGAAACAAACCAGUAACCAUCUCUCUCCCAUGUUGUCUGCUUCAGUUCCUGCCUUGAGGUUCCUGCCUUGAGUAUCUACCCUGACUUCCCUCUGUGGUGGAUUGUGACAUGGAAAUGUAAGACUGACUGCCAAUAUCACAUGACUUAAGACCUCCACCCAUGAAGGAUUAUGAUGCUUUGAAAAGGAAGAUGAAAGAUCAAAGGCACCAGAGUGAAUAGGAAUGGGAACAAUACUAAGAACAUAAAGAUUUGAAGGCUAAAGUUUAUAUAAAAGGUUAUUAUUAAAAUAUUUUCAAGGACAGGGGGUGAAGGGCUACAAGAUGGAAACAGCGUUAGAACUACCAUGAUUCCCAGCAUCCUCUGCCAAAUAUUAACUCAAGCUCACACAUGUGCUAGCAUUGCCCUUAAUCUCUGUUACAAGUCUCCAGGGUCUGUAUUUCCCAUUUUACAGAUAAAGAAACUGAGAGUAAGGGACCAAAGGCGAACAGGCAAAAUGAGCUGGUGUUUAUUUGAAUCCAAUAUCAAUGGUCUCCACUCCAUAACCUGUCAAUAAAACCCCAAGGAAGCCUGUCUUACAAUGAUAGAUGUAAUGGGCUCUACAGGUCUAUAUGCAUCCCCCACCUUAUAGCUAACUCCGUAUGUCAGUUCUCACAGAGUAACUAUCUGGUCCUUUGUGACUGACACGGGAGUAUGUCUGUAUCAUUUCUGAAUGGUGAGGUCUCUUUGUGUAGCAUAAAGAAUGCUGGUGGGAAAACAAAGAGGAGUGAUUCCUUCCAUUCAUGCUGAGAAGUCGACUGGGGAUUUAGCUCAGUGGUAGAGCGCUUACCUAGGAAGCGCAAGGUCCUGGGUUCAGUCCCCAGCUCCGAAAAAAAGAACCAAAAAAAAAACAAAAACCAAAAAAAAAAAAAAAACAUGCUGAGAAGUCAUUGCACCAAACAACAGAAAGGUUCUCUUUACAAAGGAGGAGAGAGCCAGGCGAGGCACCAUGGAGCUGUCUAGAGGAAAGGCGUAAGAACGGAGCGUGUGUCAGCAAAAGAAUGGAGAUGAGGAAGCUUCAGUUGUGUUCAGAAUGGGGCGUACAGCAGGGUGCAAAGAGGGCAUCCAGCCUGGAAGAGCAGGCUACGGUGCCUCUCGUGACAUGAUUUAGAUGUGGUUUGUCCCCACCAAAGCUCCUUUUGAAGUCCUAACUGACACUGUGGCAGUACUGAGAAGGAACUUCAAGAAGUAGUUGGGUCUUUAAGGGGAAUUAACGCAAUUCUCCCAAGAUUGGAUUAGCUGCCGUGAGAACAAGAUGUUCUAAGCCAAGGCAGCCACUGGUGCCUUAGCUCCUCCACAGAUCACUGCGUGUUUGCGGUCUUGUCGUGAUGUAUCCUGAGCCCUUUACCAGAUGAAGCUGCCUUGUCUGGACUUUCAACCACCAGCACUCGGAGCUAAAUAAACUUCUUCCCUUUACAAAUUGUCCGAUCUCAGAUUUUCUAUCUGUAGAUAGAAUGUCAUACCAGAUGUAAUAUCAGAAAACAGAUUGAGAAAAAAGGAUUGGCAGUGAGAGGCACUAAGGGUUUCGUGGCAGGUGAGCAGCCUGACGUUACCUAUAUUUUAAUGUAUUCUCUUCACUGCCUGGGACCGAGCAUGCCAACACAGUGGUAUAGCACUUGCCUGAUAUGCAUGGAGCCCUAGGCCUGAAAGGAAAAUAAAAAAGAUCAUUAACUUGGAACACGGAAGUAGGAGGAUCAGGAGGAUCACGUUGAAGGCCAGCCUUGGUUCUAUGUGACCUUGUCUGAAAGUAAACAGUGACAAAAAAGAGGGGAGGAAACGGUCACUAGAGCUGAUGGUUGCACUUGUGACACAGAGAGUGAAAGAGGCGAAGGUGUGGCCAUGACAUUCUGUCUAUGCGGAGUUUCGGGCAGUGAAAGGGGACAUUUCAGGGAAGCUGUUGGGUUUGGUCCUUCAAAGAACUCAUAGUACAUCCCCAUCUCUCCUGACAUUCUCUCAAGUUUCUGAUGAGGAAGCCUGCUGGGGAACAGCAGGACCUUCAUUUCCACAGCACUGAAAGGCCUGGGUAUUUUAUCGGUUGAACAAAUACUUUAGAGCCAGAGUUUGAAGUGCAGACGGAAGUCAUUGUCUCUAGUACUUGGGAAUUCAUCAGCAGACAGCCAACAGUGAAAGGCCGAGAACAAGAUGGACUGAUUAAGAGGACAAGGCUCCGAUCUCUUCCUGGCAAAUCAUCUCUCACAAUCAAACCACUCCCCACUCCCCAGAGCUCACAGAUUGGAAACUGAGCCUUUAAAACCGUUCUGUGGGGAGAUCCACAACAACAGCCAGAGACUGCUAAUCUCCGAGGUGAGUACUGCUAAGGGGGUCAGAGAAGUGGGAGGGUCUGACACUGGUCAGAAGGCAGACGCCAUGCUCAAGGUUUCAGAGAUGAAACAUCUUCAAGAGAUGACGAAACCUGGAGUGUAUUCAUGGGUGUGAAUGGUUGAAGUGGGCUAGAAGUGACCGAUUGGCACACUGAAGUUCACUCUUCAGACCUUUUCUGAUACA
Molecule: non-coding RNA, 2846 nt
Organism: Rattus norvegicus (Norway rat)
Lineage: Eukaryota; Metazoa; Chordata; Mammalia; Rodentia; Muridae
Source: RefSeq, a predicted model, not a curated record